AGUGACAGAAGAAGGAGGGAUGGCUUUAAGCUGAAGGAGGGACGUACUAACAUGAUUCAUAAUAUUCUGAGAAAAUAUCCAGCCAACAUAACACAUCCCAGGGUGAUCUAUGUAUAUAAUGGACUUCAAACUGAGACCUGCAAAGGGAGAAGAUUCUCCCCCAAGUUAUUCAUUAUCAGGCUGAUGGCAGAUGUGUCUACAGAAGCACUCUGACAUUUCCCAUGAAGCAGGUUGGUGAGACAAGCAAUGGCACGGGAGUCCCUGUGAUAUGAUAACAUCUCCAAUGCCUGUAUCUUCUGGUACUUAUGCACUUAACAUUUUAUUACUGGAGUAAUGGAUUUAGCCUUAUCUGAUAUGAGUGGGAUAAGGCAGUUUGUAUUUUUAUCUUGCCAAUAAAGUAGUUUCUGCUGGGAAGCAACUGCUUUUAUUUGCAGUUUUCUCCAGUGGAAAAGGGUGCAUCUGCCGUUUUUCUUAGGUUGUGACAGAAUAUUGUUUUAAGUGAAUGUUUUAGAAUUUGGAGCCAAAAGGAAGAUUUUUCAAGAGCAUUAGAAUGCAUGGUAUAGUAUAAUUUGAAAGUUUAUGAAACUGAAAACAACUGCACUUCAUAGAAAUGUUGGUUUAAACAGGAAUAAAUAUGUAGUACCUUGAAUGCAAUUUGGCAAGAAUUAAUAAAGCCUUUUACAGGCUGUUUAUUUCACUGUUCACAACCAUGUCAAGCAGAGUACUUUAAAUGGCAUCUCACUGAUUUCAGUGAAUCCACAGAGCAGUAUAUCUGUGCACUUACCCUCCCGGAGACACCAUCUACAUCACUCAACACAGUAAUUGUGAAAACAAUUCAAGAACUUACCAGAUAUGGAUUAUUUAUAUUCUGCAGUUUAUAUGUGACUCUGAUUUCCUCACUCAUCACAAUUUUUGUUUUAGUUAA
This is a long non-coding RNA of Parus major (Great Tit), 925 nucleotides long. RefSeq lists it as uncharacterized. The record is from RefSeq and is a predicted model, not a curated record. NCBI's taxonomy places the organism in Eukaryota, Metazoa, Chordata, Aves, Passeriformes, Paridae. The transcript is spliced from 3 exons.